Molecule: ribosomal RNA, 468 nt
Filed under: uncultured bacterium
Lineage: Bacteria
Description: partial 16S ribosomal RNA
Rfam family: Bacterial small subunit ribosomal RNA
Source: RNAcentral
GACGAACGCUGGCGGCGUGCUUAACACAUGCAAGUCGAACGGAAAGGCCCUGCUUUUGUGGGGUGCUCGAGUGGCGAACGGGUGAGUAACACGUGGGUAACCUGCCCUUGACUUUGGGAUAACUUCAGGAAACUGGGGCUAAUACCGGAUAGGAGCUCCUGCUGCAUGGUGGGGGUUGGAAAGUUUCGGCGGUUGGGGAUGGACUCGCGGCUUAUCAGCUUGUUGGUGGGGUAGUGGCUUACCAAGGCUUUGACGGGUAGCCGGCCUGAGAGGGUGACCGGGCACAUUGGGACUGAGAGACGGCCCAGACUCCUACGGGAGGCAGCAGUGGGGAAUAUUGCACAAUGGGCGGAAGCCUGAGGCAGCAACGCCGCGUGCGGGAUGACGGCCUUCGGGGUGUAAACCGCUUUCGCCUGAGACGAAGCGGGAGUGACGGUAAUGGGUAAAGAAGCACCGGCUAACUACGUG